Molecule: ribosomal RNA, 322 nt
Filed under: uncultured eukaryote
Lineage: Eukaryota
Description: partial 18S ribosomal RNA
Rfam family: Eukaryotic small subunit ribosomal RNA
Source: RNAcentral
CCCUUAGAUGUUCUGGGCCGCACGCGUGCUACACUGAGUGGAUCAGCGGGUCAGGUUACGCGAGAGCGUUUCCUAAUCUUCAAAUCCGCUCGUGAUGGGGAUUGACGGUUGCAAUUUUCCGUCAUGAACGAGGAAUACCUUGUAAGCGCGGGUCAUCAUCCCGCGCUGAAUACGUCCCUGCCCUUUGUACACACCGCCCGUCGCUCCUACCGAUUGAGUGAUCCGGUGAGGCUUUGGGAUCUAAGCGAAAAGAGCGUUUCGCUCCUUUUGCUGGGAGAACUCAGUCGAACCUUAUCAUUUAGAGGAAGGAGAAGUCGUAACA